Molecule: non-coding RNA, 111 nt
Filed under: bovine gut metagenome
Description: SAM riboswitch (S box leader)
Rfam family: SAM riboswitch aptamer (S box leader)
About the family: The SAM riboswitch is found upstream of a number of genes which code for proteins involved in methionine or cysteine biosynthesis in Gram-positive bacteria. The SAM riboswitch acts at the level of transcription termination control. The predicted structure consists of a complex stem-loop region followed by a single stem loop terminator region.
Source: RNAcentral
CUCAUCCAGAGCAGUGGAGGGACAGGCCCGAUGAAGCUGCGGCAACCAUUGGAGCGUGGAAGAGCUUCAAAACGGUGCCAAUUCCUAUAGGCAGGACCUAUGAAGAUGAGA